This 1654-nucleotide small RNA is filed under the name Theobroma cacao (cacao). RNAcentral describes it as "sRNA Tc02v2_g003730". The record is from RNAcentral. Lineage: Eukaryota; Viridiplantae; Streptophyta; Magnoliopsida; Malvales; Malvaceae.
GACAUAAAUUUUUUGUUCUCAUUUGAUGUGUCUUUUGUUGUUUAUGUUGAUUUCUUGGCUGGAUUUGGUUUUCAUGGAAUGAUAAUUAAUAAGAGAUUUUAGCCAUAAAGAAAAAAGUGAGAGCUCUUGCAGGUGGUUGAGGCAGUGAUUGAGAAGCCUCUCCCCUCUUCUCCAUUAGGGUUAAAAAGAAAAAAGGUCGGGAGCAAUGAUUGCAAUGGUGGGUCUCUGUUUUGCCCUUUUGGAUGUCAGGAGGUGGGCCAUUUUCAAACAAACCAAAACAGUCUCUAUUUCCAUCACUUAGCCCCUCAUUGAAGCAUUGGGUUUGGGCCCCAAUUUUUACAUCUGAAUUCCACUUCUAAGAUGCUACUUCAAGAUUAAAAGUUAAAAAGUAUGGAAAAAAAGAAAGAAAACAAAAAUUGAUGUUGGUAUGAUUUAAAUGAUUUAUAGUUUCAAUAUAUGAUGGUAGAAUUGCCUUUUAUUUUGUCAAUAUAUGAGGGCCAACAAAUUGUUCUGCCAAGUGGAAGACAAAGGCCACUAAUGUGAAGAGAGAGAGAGGGCCAAUCAUGAAUGCAAUGUGCUAAUGUAUCUAUCUAUCACAAUCAAAAUUAUUACUUCCAACAUUAUGAAAACUUUGAUUGAAAUCAAUUUUUUUCCUUUUGGGUUUGCUCCAAUUUGUACUGAAAACUUGAAUAAUAUAGGGAUCAUAGAAUAGUGAUUGAGCAGCAGGGGUUAGUGUAUUAUUUGAAAAUUAAUCUAAAAGAUGGUAGGUUGGAAUUAUUAUUUUAGUUUCUUCCUCCUAUUCAUCAAUGUCAACUCAUGCGUGUAUAACAAACGACAAACAAAAUGUGGAAUUGGGUCUUUUCUCGUCUUUUUGCCUGGUCUUAUCCAUGGCUUUUCCUUUUCUUUUUGGAAUUUUGGGGGGUUGAAUCAGUGGCAUGAAAUUCGUUUCCCCUCCUGCUCUGCUAUUAUUGCCUGCCUUUUCUUCGUUUUGACAGGCUCAGAUAUCUCGAGAUUGAUUCAUAUGAAUUUUCCCAAGUUCCUAAACAUACAAAAAAAGAAGAAAAACCCAGCAUUUCCAUGGAUGCCUUGAGUCGUUUUCUUCAUGAAAGGAGUGUAGUAAUAUCUUCUUCAUGGAGGCUAACAUGGAUCCAUUUCAAAGGGUUUUCCUCUGCAGGGCUUACCUUGUCUUUGACUUUGGGUAGGUGAUCAGAUUUGGAACUACAAGUAACGAGGUAUGGCAGAUUCCAAAGCCCUUCACUGACUCGGCAUGAUUUGGAUAUAUGUAGACUUCGUACCUAUCAUUCACAUGCAAAAGAGAGAAAAAAUAUGAAGACAAACUUGUAUCGGACCCUGAUUGAUUCAAUCCAAGGAGGGGAGCUUUUGCAUCAAAAUUAUCAUCAUCUUCAUCACAUCCUCUUACCAUUUAUUACUAGAACUAGUUCUUGUUUUUGUUUUCCUUCUUAAAAAUAGAUAAAAAGAAAGAGAAUUUGGAUUCUGAUGGGCUCUCAACUUUCCCAUAUUCCUAUAAGAUCAUCAUGAUUAAAAUUCCCUCACCAUUCUGUUCCCUGGAAGAAAAGGGAAUCCUCCCUCAGUCCUCACAGGGAUUCUAUGCACACAAAGUCUUGAAUACACUUUUGGCUUUUUGAGAAACAAA